GAACCAGUACCGUGAGGGAAAGGCGAAAAGAACCCCGGCGAGGGGAGUGAAAAAGAACCUGAAACCGUGUACGUACAAGCAGUGGGAGCACGCUUAGGCGUGUGACUGCGUACCUUUUGUAUAAUGGGUCAGCGACUUAUAUUCUGUAGCAAGGUUAACCGAAUAGGGGAGCCGAAGGGAAACCGAGUCUUAACUGGGCGUUAAGUUGCAGGGUAUAGACCCGAAACCCGGUGAUCUAGCCAUGGGCAGGUUGAAGGUUGGGUAACACUAACUGGAGGACCGAACCGACUAAUGUUGAAAAAUUAGCGGAUGACUUGUGGCUGGGGGUGAAAGGCCAAUCAAACCGGGAGAUAGCUGGUUCUCCCCGAAAGCUAUUUAGGUAGCGCCUCGUGAAUUCAUCUCCGGGGGUAGAGCACUGUUUCGGCAAGGGGGUCAUCCCGACUUACCAACCCGAUGCAAACUGCGAAUACCGGAGAAUGUUAUCACGGGAGACACACGGCGGGUGCUAACGUCCGUCGUGAAGAGGGAAACAACCCAGACCGCCAGCUAAGGUCCCAAAGUCAUGGUUAAGUGGGAAACGAUGUGGGAAGGCCCAGACAGCCAGGAUGUUGGCUUAGAAGCAGCCAUCAUUUAAAGAAAGCGUAAUAGCUCACUGGUCGAGUCGGCCUGCGCGGAAGAUGUAACGGGGCUAAACCAUGCACCGAAGCUGCGGCAGCGACACUAUGUGUUGUUGGGUAGGGGAGCGUUCUGUAAGCCUGUGAAGGUGUGCUGUGAGGCAUGCUGGAGGUAUCAGAAGUGCGAAUGCUGACAUAAGUAACGAUAAAGCGGGUGAAAAGCCCGCUCGCCGGAAGACCAAGGGUUCCUGUCCAACGUUAAUCGGGGCAGGGUGAGUCGACCCCUAAGGCGAGGCCGAAAGGCGUAGUCGAUGGGAAACAGGUUAAUAUUCCUGUACUUGGUGUUACUGCGAAGGGGGGACGGAGAAGGCUAUGUUGGCCGGGCGACGGUUGUCCCGGUUUAAGCGUGUAGGCUGGUUUUCCAGGCAAAUCCGGAAAAUCAAGGCUGAGGCGUGAUGACGAGGCACUACGGUGCUGAAGCAACAAAUGCCCUGCUUCCAGGAAAAGCCUCUAAGCAUCAGGUAACAUCAAAUCGUACCCCAAACCGACACAGGUGGUCAGGUAGAGAAUACCAAGGCGCUUGAGAGAACUCGGGUGAAGGAACUAGGCAAAAUGGUGCCGUAACUUCGGGAGAAGGCACGCUGAUAUGUAGGUGAAGUCCCUCGCGGAUGGAGCUGAAAUCAGUCGAAGAUACCAGCUGGCUGCAACUGUUUAUUAAAAACACAGCACUGUGCAAACACGAAAGUGGACGUAUACGGUGUGACGCCUGCCCGGUGCCGGAAGGUUAAUUGAUGGGGUUAGCCGCAAGGCGAAGCUCUUGAUCGAAGCCCCGGUAAACGGCGGCCGUAACUAUAACGGUCCUAAGGUAGCGAAAUUCCUUGUCGGGUAAGUUCCGACCUGCACGAAUGGCGUAAUGAUGGCCAGGCUGUCUCCACCCGAGACUCAGUGAAAUUGAACUCGCUGUGAAGAUGCAGUGUACCCGCGGCAAGACGGAAAGACCCCGUGAACCUUUACUAUAGCUUGACACUGAACAUUGAGCCUUGAUGUGUAGGAUAGGUGGGAGGCUUUGAAGUGUGGACGCCAGUCUGCAUGGAGCCGACCUUGAAAUACCACCCUUUAAUGUUUGAUGUUCUAACGUUGACCCGUAAUCCGGGUUGCGGACAGUGUCUGGUGGGUAGUUUGACUGGGGCGGUCUCCUCCUAAAGAGUAACGGAGGAGCACGAAGGUUGGCUAAUCCUGGUCGGACAUCAGGAGGUUAGUGCAAUGGCAUAAGCCAGCUUGACUGCGAGCGUGACGGCGCGAGCAGGUGCGAAAGCAGGUCAUAGUGAUCCGGUGGUUCUGAAUGGAAGGGCCAUCGCUCAACGGAUAAAAGGUACUCCGGGGAUAACAGGCUGAUACCGCCCAAGAGUUCAUAUCGACGGCGGUGUUUGGCACCUCGAUGUCGGCUCAUCACAUCCUGGGGCUGAAGUAGGUCCCAAGGGUAUGGCUGUUCGCCAUUUAAAGUGGUACGCGAGCUGGGUUUAGAACGUCGUGAGACAGUUCGGUCCCUAUCUGCCGUGGGCGCUGGAGAACUGAGGGGGGCUGCUCCUAGUACGAGAGGACCGGAGUGGACGCAUCACUGGUGUUCGGGUUGUCAUGCCAAUGGCACUGCCCGGUAGCUAAAUGCGGAAGAGAUAAGUGCUGAAAGCAUCUAAGCACGAAACUUGCCCCGAGAUGAGUUCUCCCUGACCCUUUAAGGGUCCUGAAGGAACGUUGAAGACGACGACGUUGAUAGGCCGGGUGUGUAAGCGCAGCGAUGCGUUGAGCUAACCGGUACUAAUGAACCGUGAGGCUUAACCUU
This 2454-nucleotide ribosomal RNA is filed under the name Escherichia coli. Its description in RNAcentral is "bacterial LSU rRNA". It matches the Rfam family "Bacterial large subunit ribosomal RNA", at positions 492 to 2925 of the family's 2925-position model. The record is from RNAcentral. Lineage: Bacteria; Pseudomonadati; Pseudomonadota; Gammaproteobacteria; Enterobacterales; Enterobacteriaceae.